RNAcentral lists this small nuclear RNA (148 nucleotides) under Dasypus novemcinctus (nine-banded armadillo). Its description in RNAcentral is "U1 spliceosomal RNA (ENSDNOG00000037114.1)". It matches the Rfam family "U1 spliceosomal RNA". Rfam says of the family: U1 is a small nuclear RNA (snRNA) component of the spliceosome (involved in pre-mRNA splicing). Its 5' end forms complementary base pairs with the 5' splice junction, thus defining the 5' donor site of an intron. Lineage: Eukaryota; Metazoa; Chordata; Mammalia; Cingulata; Dasypodidae. The record is from RNAcentral.
AUACUUACCUGGCAGGAGAGGUUGGUUUUUCCAGGGCGAGGCUUAUCCCUUAGCACUCUGGAUGUGCUGACCCCUGCGAUUUCCGCAAAUAUGGGAAACUCUACUGCAAUAUUUGUGAUAGUAGGUACUGCAUUUGGACUCUCCCUUA